RNAcentral lists this ribosomal RNA (460 nucleotides) under uncultured bacterium. RNAcentral's name for it is "partial 16S ribosomal RNA". It matches the Rfam family "Bacterial small subunit ribosomal RNA", at positions 338 to 795 of the family's 1533-position model. The record is from RNAcentral.
CCUACGGGAGGCAGCAGUGAGGAAUAUUGGUCAAUGGACGAGAGUCUGAACCAGCCAAGUAGCGUGAAGGAUGACUGCCCUAUGGGUUGUAAACUUCUUUUAUAUGGGAAUAAAACAGGGUAUGCAUACCCCCUUGUAUGUACCAUAUGAAUAAGGAUCGGCUAACUCCGUGCCAGCAGCCGCGGUAAUACGGAGGAUCCGAGCGUUAUCCGGAUUUAUUGGGUUUAAAGGGAGCGUAGGUGGAUUGUUAAGUCAGUUGUGAAAGUUUGCGGCUCAACCGUAAAAUUGCAGUUGAAACUGGCAGUCUUGAGUACAGUAGAGGUGGGCGGAAUUCGUGGUGUAGCGGUGAAAUGCUUAGAUAUCACGAAGAACUCCGAUUGCGAAGGCAGUUCACUGGACUGCAACUGACACUGAGGCUCGAAAGUGUGGGUAUCAAACAGGAUUAGAUACCCGUGUAGUC